RNAcentral lists this long non-coding RNA (1160 nucleotides) under Sinocyclocheilus anshuiensis. RNAcentral describes it as "lncRNA (ENSSANG00000022859.1)". Lineage: Eukaryota; Metazoa; Chordata; Actinopteri; Cypriniformes; Cyprinidae. The record is from RNAcentral.
CAGACAGUGUAACUGCACUAGGUGGCGCUCUUUCAGUGUGAUUAAUGUGAUGUUCAGUCAGUGGUGAUGGUGGGAGGAGCCAGUAAAGCUGCUCAUUACUGAUAAAGAGCUGAAUAAAGAGGAAGUAACUAAAGCAGACAGAUGUAGAGACAGAGAGAUUCACACAGAGAUCAUUCAGCAUAAAGAAGACUGAACUCAACUCACAAUGAAGAUCCUCCUCAUCUUCCUCACUUUCUACCUGAUCUCAGGUCAGAGCUUUUCUCUUUCAUCACUGCAGUAAUGAUGCUGUUUUCUGUUCAUCAGCUUUCUGAUCACAGUAUCAAUCUGAUUGACAGCUGCAGUGAGAUGCUUUAGCGUCACGGGAUAUUCUGGAGGAAGUCUUCUUGUUGAUUCUGGGAAACUUUGGUCCAGUGACUCUGCUAAAUAUAUGGCCAAAUUACCUGAGUGGAGAACAAUAAUAAAUGAUAAGAAACAUGAUAAAUGGAUUAAUGAAGGAAGAUUCACACUUUAUCGAAACAGUGAGGGAAACCUCAUGAUCUUCAUCAGAGAACUCAAUCAACAUGAUGCUGGAAGAUACGCAAUUGAUGUUCUUCACAACCAGCGUAUAUAUAUGACUGUGAAUGUGAAAGAAGAAGAAGAGUCAUGUUGUAAAGUGUCAAAGAGAGUGAUGGUGAAUAUUGGAGAAUCUGCCAAUUUCAGCUGUGAAUAUUCACAGAAUCAUAUUAAUGAUCCCAAGAUCAUAUUCAAAGAAGAAAAAGACUCCAUUGAGAUGAUUUACAGCAGAUGGAAGAAGAAAGAAAGAUUCAGUAUUUCUGAUGAUGAACAUAAACACAUCUUCAGUGUGAGAAUCACUGCUGUGACACCAGAUGAUGGAGGAGUUUAUUUAUGUGGAGUUUGGAUCAACAGAGACUCGUACAGUUACUCCAUUAUUAACACUGUUCACCUACAUAUUAUGAAUUUCUCCGUGAUCUCCAUUAUUAGUGUGUGUGUGAUUCUGCUGCUGAUCGGUGGAUUCACUCUGACUGUGUGCAAAUUAAGACACAAGAGACGAGGUGACACACACACACACAGGCCAGUUCACUCACAGUUACCCACAAUCCCCUCUGAUGAGCUGCUGUACGCUACAGUUUCUCAUCCCCACUGAAUAUAUAUAUAUAUAU